ACUCCUACGGGAGGCAGCAGUGGGGAAUAUUGCACAAUGGGGGAAACCCUGAUGCAGCCAUGCCGCGUGUGUGAAGAAGGCCUUCGGGUUGUAAAGCACUUUCAGCGAGGAGGAAAGGUCAGUAGCUAAUACCUGCUGACUGUGACGUUACUCGCAGAAGAAGCACCGGCUAACUCCGUGCCAGCAGCCGCGGUAAUAC
RNAcentral lists this ribosomal RNA (199 nucleotides) under uncultured bacterium. RNAcentral describes it as "partial 16S ribosomal RNA". It matches the Rfam family "Bacterial small subunit ribosomal RNA", at positions 335 to 526 of the family's 1533-position model. The record is from RNAcentral.